This 253-nucleotide ribosomal RNA is filed under the name uncultured bacterium. RNAcentral describes it as "partial 16S ribosomal RNA". It matches the Rfam family "Bacterial small subunit ribosomal RNA", at positions 524 to 776 of the family's 1533-position model. The record is from RNAcentral.
UACGUAGGGGGCUAGCGUUGUCCGGAAUCAUUGGGCGUAAAGCGCGCGUAGGCGGCCCGGUAAGUCCGCUGUAAAAGUCAAAGGCUCAACCUUUGAAUGUCAGUGGAUACUGCCGGGCUAGAGUCCGGAAGAGGCGAGUGGAACUCCUGGUGUAGCGGUGGAAUGCGCAGAUAUCAGGAAGAACACCGACGGCGAAGGCAGCUCGCUGGGACGGUACUGACGCUGAGGCGCGAAAGCGUGGGGAACGAACAGG